Molecule: long non-coding RNA, 457 nt
Organism: Rhagoletis pomonella (apple maggot)
Lineage: Eukaryota; Metazoa; Arthropoda; Insecta; Diptera; Tephritidae
Exons: 3
Source: RefSeq, a predicted model, not a curated record
ACUUCCAUCUUUAUAUAUAAUAUUCUUGAACCUGUAAACAUCAUAAAAUCUAACGUUAACAAAUCACGCUAUUGUACCGUUUGUAGCUUUCUAUAAAAGACGAAUUUGCAAAUAAAUAAGUGCCAUUAUAUUCCCGCUGGUUGGUGUGUACAAAUAUAAUCGGUUUUCAGUUGCUUUUAUCGUACACUAUUAUUGGCAUUUAUACAAUAUUCUUCUUGCGAAUUGAAUGGUAUACAAGUAAAUCAGACGGUGUGAUUAUAAAUUGCUUUACGCAGGAAAUAACAGAUAUUGUAAAGCGAAUUCUAAAGGAAAUGAACUGUAAGAAAGGAACUGAUGAUACGCCGACGAAAAUAAAUGAAAGCAAAGAAAACGGCAAAGUUUACAACAACGUAACAAUGGCUGUAUAUAUUAUAUACAUAUAUAUAUAUUAUUACAUUUUAUCUGCAAGGACAUGACG